AGAGUUUGAUCAUGGCUCAGAGCGAACGCUGGCGGCAGGCUUAACACAUGCAAGUCGAGCGGGCAUAGCAAUAUGUCAGCGGCAGACGGGUGAGUAACGCGUGGGAACGUACCUUUAGGUUCGGAACAACACAGGGAAACUUGUGCUAAUACCGGAUAAGCCCUUACGGGGAAAGAUUUAUCGCCGAAAGAUCGGCCCGCGUCUGAUUAGCUAGUUGGUGAGGUAAUGGCUCACCAAGGCGACGAUCAGUAGCUGGUCUGAGAGGAUGAUCAGCCACAUUGGGACUGAGACACGGCCCAAACUCCUACGGGAGGCAGCAGUGGGGAAUAUUGGACAAUGGGCGCAAGCCUGAUCCAGCCAUGCCGCGUGAGUGAUGAAGGCCCUAGGGUUGUAAAGCUCUUUUGUGCGGGAAGAUAAUGACGGUACCGCAAGAAUAAGCCCCGGCUAACUUCGUG
RNAcentral lists this ribosomal RNA (455 nucleotides) under uncultured bacterium. RNAcentral describes it as "bacterial SSU rRNA". It matches the Rfam family "Bacterial small subunit ribosomal RNA", at positions 8 to 507 of the family's 1533-position model. The record is from RNAcentral.